GCGUUGGUAGUGCAACGGUUAAGCAUGCGCUCUCGGAAAGAGUGAGAUCUGGGUUCGAGUCCCAGUUCACGGA
Non-coding RNA from Parelaphostrongylus tenuis, 73 nucleotides. The record is from the annotation of a GenBank genome assembly. Lineage: Eukaryota; Metazoa; Nematoda; Chromadorea; Rhabditida; Metastrongylidae.